Molecule: ribosomal RNA, 292 nt
Filed under: uncultured bacterium
Lineage: Bacteria
Description: partial 16S ribosomal RNA
Rfam family: Bacterial small subunit ribosomal RNA
Source: RNAcentral
GUGUCAGCAGCCGCGGUAAGACGAACCGUCCGAACGUUAUUCGGAAUUACUGGGCUUAAAGGGUGCGUAGGCGGCGCGGAAAGUCGGGUGUGAAAUCCCUCGGCUCAACCGAGGAAUGGCGCUCGAAACUACCGUGCUCGAGGAAGGCAGAGGUGAGCGGAACUCAGGGUGGAGCGGUGAAAUGCGUUGAUAUCCUGAGGAACACCGGUGGCGAAAGCGGCUCACUGGGCCUUUUCUGACGCUGAUGCACGAAAGCUAGGGGAGCAAACGGGAUUAGAUACCCGCGUAGUCC